AAAUUGAAGAGUUUGAUCAUGGCUCAGAUUGAACGCUGGCGGCAGGCCUAACACAUGCAAGUCGAACGGUAACAGGAAGCAGCUUGCUGCUUCGCUGACGAGUGGCGGACGGGUGAGUAAUGUCUGGGAAACUGCCUGAUGGAGGGGGAUAACUACUGGAAACGGUGGCUAAUACCGCAUAACGUCGCAAGACCAAAGAGGGGGACCUUCGGGCCUCUUACCAUCAGAUGUGCCCAGAUGGGAUUAGCU
RNAcentral lists this ribosomal RNA (249 nucleotides) under Salmonella enterica. Its description in RNAcentral is "partial 16S ribosomal RNA". It matches the Rfam family "Bacterial small subunit ribosomal RNA", at positions 1 to 246 of the family's 1533-position model. RNAcentral also lists the same sequence under 7 other names. Lineage: Bacteria; Pseudomonadati; Pseudomonadota; Gammaproteobacteria; Enterobacterales; Enterobacteriaceae. The record is from RNAcentral.